UCUUACGGAAAUUUUGAGCAUCCGAGACACGAUUCUCUCGGCUUUCUCCCAAGGAAGCGAGCUGCUCCUCAUCGCGAAAAUGGUUUUUUUACACUUGAUUCACACUAUCUUUUCAAUUAUUUAUUAGAUCUGUAUUUUCAUAUUUCAAAUUUGUGUUCAAAUACAUCUCUAACUUUCUUAAUAGUAGUUUCAACAAAGCUUGCUUAUAAUGCAUAACUACCUAACAUACAUCCUUACAAAUUUGUUAAAACCAUACUGCUACUAUUGGUGAACUCACUAAAGCAAUGUGGUUACUAGAGGUUUGAGGAGAAGUGUUAAUGGCGUCCAAACAAGGAGUGAAAUCAAAGCGAUUUGGUUUGAUUGGUACAGAAGCUACGAAUUCGCCUUCUUCGACGACGUCAUCUUCUAAACAGUUUCAGAAAACCUCCAAUGAUGCUCCGAGCUCGCCGACGUCGUCAUCGGUGAUAAGUAAGUCGUGUCAGUUUUAUCCAGAGACUGUGCCUAUGGAGGCUCUGAAGACUAAAGAAAAUGUUACUGUGACGGUUUGCUUUCGGCCUUUGAAGUGAGUAUUUUGUUUUCUGAAUGCUUUAGUAGUACUUUUACAUGACAGUACCAGAAAAUUAAUAAAGUGGCAAAUCAUAUAUGAUAACAUAAACUACAAAGUGGCAAUUGCAAAUGAUUUAUUAUUUAUUUUAUAGAUACUUGCUUCUAAAGAAUUAAAAGUAUUCUUUUUCCCAGUUCCAAGAUGAAUAAGUAUGACAUAUUGCAGUUAGAUUUAAAAAAUUACUUUCACAAUAGUUUUCAAAAGCAAAUGUUCUUUGUGCUGGUUGCAUGUUCAUUGUGCAGUGAAAUAAUGGGGCAUGAUAUUUUAGAUAUCCAUAAAGGUGAAAAAUUCCCUCAAAGGAUUGUCACCUGUGAGUUCUGUGAGUUUCCGUUGCCAGCAAUUGAUCUAGCAGAGCAUCAGGAAGUAUGUGGGAAUCAAAUAGGGAUGUGUCACCUUUGUAACAAAUAUGUUAGACUACGGGAAAGAUACAUUCAUGAAGUUAAUUGCAACAGACUUGAAGGCAAUGUUGCAGGGUCUUCAAGGGGUAUUCUAAGUUUUCCGGCCGAAUGUUAGAGUGUUCUCUAGCAAAUCCACGAGCUAAUCAGAAGGUUGUAGUAUCAAAUGUACAGAAUCAACGAUUACUUCCAAGUUAUCCACCACAGCUUGGUUAUGGUCUGAUAGGUUAUCCCUAUGGAGCACUUGGUGUCGGAUAUGGUGCUCCCGGUCUUGGACAGGUGAUCCGUGCUUUUAUGUUUUGAUUAGAUAUCAAUUUAACUGUUGAGAUAUCUAUUUAAUCUGAGAAUCUGAUUAUUGGAGUCGAAUAUUUUAUAAUUGAAAGCAAAGAUGCUUUUGUAUAUAAUUAAUUUGAAGCAAUCCAGUGGCAACAAUUCUACCAACAAUUUCAGUCAUAUGGCAAGCUUUUCAGGUAGAGGGCCUUCAACGCUUUCUAAGAAUACUCUCAAGCCUGAUUUUGCAGCACCAGGUGUUAACAUUCUUGCUGCAUGGACUAGAAAUGACAGAAAAACUACCCUAAAGAGAAAAAACCUCUGUUGUAUAUAUAACCUUGAAUCAGGGACUUCCAUGUCAUGUCCACAUGUUUCAGGCCUUGCAGGAAGCAUUAAAUCUAGAAA
Vicia villosa (hairy vetch) is the source of this 1674-nucleotide long non-coding RNA. RefSeq lists it as uncharacterized. Lineage: Eukaryota; Viridiplantae; Streptophyta; Magnoliopsida; Fabales; Fabaceae. The record is from RefSeq and is a predicted model, not a curated record. The transcript is spliced from 5 exons.